Molecule: ribosomal RNA, 115 nt
Filed under: Schizosaccharomyces octosporus yFS286
Lineage: Eukaryota; Fungi; Ascomycota; Schizosaccharomycetes; Schizosaccharomycetales; Schizosaccharomycetaceae
Source: RNAcentral
ACGGCCACACCAAGGCGAAAACACCAGUUCCCGUCCGACCACUGCAGUUAAGCGUCUGAGGGUCUCGUUAGUACUAUGGUUGGAGACAACAUGGGAAUCCGGGAUGCUGUAGGCU